AUUCCAUGGUGAGGACAAUCUGAUAUGUAAUCUUGAAAACGCUCCCAUGCUUCUGGAAUGGUUUCUGUCUUCUGCUGUUGGAAAACUGACAAUAUUUCCUCUUAAGGCA
Sorghum bicolor (sorghum) is the source of this 109-nucleotide small nucleolar RNA. It matches the Rfam family "Plant small nucleolar RNA R71". From Rfam's summary of the family: R71 is a member of the C/D box family of snoRNAs containing the C (UGAUGA) and D (CUGA) box motifs. Multiple nearly identical copies of this snoRNA have been identified in Arabidopsis, and it is thought to function as a 2'-O-ribose methylation guide for 18S ribosomal RNA. NCBI's taxonomy places the organism in Eukaryota, Viridiplantae, Streptophyta, Magnoliopsida, Poales, Poaceae. The record is from Rfam.